This 259-nucleotide ribosomal RNA is filed under the name Rugamonas apoptosis. Its description in RNAcentral is "partial 23S ribosomal RNA". It matches the Rfam family "Bacterial large subunit ribosomal RNA", at positions 1 to 272 of the family's 2925-position model. Lineage: Bacteria; Pseudomonadati; Pseudomonadota; Betaproteobacteria; Burkholderiales; Oxalobacteraceae. The record is from RNAcentral.
UGAAUAAGUGCACAUGGUGGAUGCCUUGGCGAUUACAGGCGAUGAAGGACGUAGUAGCUUGCGAUAAGCUGCGGGGAGUGAGCAAACACACUUUGAUCCGCAGAUUUCCGAAUGGGGAAACCCGGCCCUUUGGGUCAUUGCAUACUGAAUACAUAGGUAUGCAAAGCGAACGCGGCGAACUGAAACAUCUAAGUAGCUGCAGGAAAAUAAAUCAACCGAGAUUCCCAAAGUAGUGGCGAGCGAAAUGGGAAGAGCCUGC